UACCAGUAGCUUAUCUAAUACUAUAUUAGUUAAAUCCUGUCCCUGUAUCAAGCUGAGUCGUGGAACUUCCUCUGGGUGCUGCCCUUGCUAGAGUAUCUUCUUCUUGUUUACUGCAAAUUGCAUAAUUAAGGAGCUGAAAUCCCAUAAAAUUGGACCAAGGGUACACAACCAUUUAACCCCCAAAAUCAUAUCAAACCCUUCUAAUGGUAUUGUAUAAAAAUAAGCUUGAAAGUUGUCAUUGGCCACAACGAACUGUACUGAUU
Molecule: long non-coding RNA, 263 nt
Filed under: Gossypium barbadense (sea-island cotton)
Lineage: Eukaryota; Viridiplantae; Streptophyta; Magnoliopsida; Malvales; Malvaceae
Description: long non-coding RNA (GBAR_LNC010511)
Source: RNAcentral